Molecule: ribosomal RNA, 344 nt
Filed under: uncultured bacterium
Lineage: Bacteria
Description: bacterial SSU rRNA
Rfam family: Bacterial small subunit ribosomal RNA
Source: RNAcentral
AUUGAACGCUGGCGGCAGGCCUAACACAUGCAAGUCGAGCGGUAACAGAACUAGCUUGCUAGUUGCUGACGAGCGGCGGACGGGUGCGUAACACGUAGGAAUCUGCCCGGUAGUGGGGGAUAGCCCGGAGAAAUCCGGAUUAAUACCGCAUACGUCCUACUCUUUUUCGGAAGAGGGGGGAAAGCAGGGGAAUCUUCGGAUCCUUGUGCUAUCGGAUGAGCCUGCGUCGGAUUAGCUUGUUGGUGGGGUAAAGGCCUACCAAGGCAACGAUCCGUAGCUGAUCUGAGAGGAUGAUCAGCCACACUGGGACUGAGACACGGCCCAGACUCCUACGGGAGGCAGCA